Molecule: long non-coding RNA, 727 nt
Filed under: Rattus norvegicus (Norway rat)
Lineage: Eukaryota; Metazoa; Chordata; Mammalia; Rodentia; Muridae
Description: long non-coding RNA NONRATT002409
Source: RNAcentral
AGUAUUGCCUGUCUCCCCUCAGAUGGCUCUGCAGGACCUGUGGACUCUUGGAGCCACAACUGUGCCAUCAAGUGUGUGUCCUUAGUUCCUCAUGCAACCGACAAGGAGCUUCACCUCUCCGUCCUUAGCCUGCUCACCUACACUGCCCACUACCAAAGGGGCCAAGGGGUGUGACAACUAGCACCUAUGUAGCUCCCAGCACAGACCCAAACAAGGAAGGGACCCUUCUCCCUUGUCUAGUGUCAUCUGAACCUUCUCUGGCCUUCAGUGGAAGGGAUUCCAUUCAAAGCAGUGAGAGGUACAGGUGCUGGGGUCUCUGUCCCGUCCUCUGCCCUGCACCCUAGUCCUUUAAUGUCUGCCAGAUGAAUUCAGACAAGAACAGGGCAUCAUACAGGAGAAUGGCAGGUUUCUUAGAGAAACAGGGAGGCAUGCCGGAGAGUGAGGGUGGGCAUCAAAGGCCCACUGCAGACGGAAGGCCCUCAGGGUAGACGAUAGCCAGAGGGCCAGAGGCUGCGUGGUUAGGUGGGCUGGGUCCUGUGUUCCAAAGUGUCUGCACAGACAGCCUUCCUGAGAGGUGGCUUCCUGCUCAGGAGAUUGAUAGGCCACAUAGGCUGACACUUAAAGGAGGGGACGAUUGUGUGUCUUGUUCUUUCUCAGGAAGCUCCUGCCACAUCGCAUCUCACGUCCUUUUAGCGAUUGAGAAAGUCAUUUAAAGGAUCCAAAAGGA